AAAGAGAGUAAAGAGAGACAGAUCUAUGGUUGCGAGAUCUACGGAAUCCUAGAAAAUAUUUCCACGCUUACUGGAAUCACGCCUACCACAUUCUGUAAAGCCCCCAGUCUGGGGAACCUCCUGGUGAGUUAUCCACUCUAGAGGCUUGAGAAGUUGGAGGCUUCCUCCAUUGACCAACGUCUGCUAUAUCUUCUUUGCACCCUGCAUACAGACACCUCACUCAAGGUGAGAUGUAGUCCACAAGGCCACCUCACAAGGGCUGUUCUAACUCAGAAGGGCGUUAAACAAGGAUGUAUCUUGGCCCCACUCCUAUUUAACUUCUACACUAGCUCUAUGGUGGGCCAGCUCAGCAAUCCUGAUUUUCACCCUCCAAAACUUGCGGGGAGACACACUGCCAUAUUGUUAUAUGCGGAUGAUGCAUUGCAGACAUCCUCUCAAGGACCCCAUCGGCCUUAGAAGAGCUCUGAGGGCCUUGUUGUUGCACUGCAAGGAGGACUGCCUCAAAAUCAGCUAUCAAAAACGAAAAUCAUGGCCUUUGCCAGGAGGCCCAAGAUCUACUGUUGGAGGAUCGAAGGUCAUAAGAUUGAGCAAGUUGCACAUUUUAAGCACUCAGGAGUAGUUUUCCAAUCUGGCGGCACUAGAAAAGCCCAUGGAGAACACGUGGCUUUAAAUGCCCAGAGAAGCUCCUCUGCUAUUCUUCAAUACCUACGGACAAGAGGAGGUCAUUAUCUACCCACAGCACUUGAACUGUUCAAAGCCAAGCCACAAGCUCAACUCCUCUAUGGUUCUCAGUUGGGUCCCUUUCCCAGCAUUGCGACUCUGGAACGGAUACAAUCCAAAUUCCUGAGGGCAGCACUCUGUGUUCCGAGAUGUGUCCCCAAUGCCACUCUGCAACUGGAGACAGGCCUGAUCAAGAGUGAGGCUAGGGUGUGGGUGACCACUCUUUGUUAUGGGCUCAGAUUAUCCUCUCGCCCAAUUGGCCUUGCCCUCUUAACCCUACACAAUGAUUACCGUUCCAGUUGGAUAUAGACAAUUGAGGCCAAAACGUCUCCUUUCGGCCUCUCCCCACUGACCUUGCUCAGCAUGGACUAUGAUCAGGCAAAAGCAACCAUCAAGCAGCGCAUUACAGACAUUGAGUGCCAAAUUGAUCUUAGCAGUGUCCCAAAAUUUUAUAUCAGUGAUGGGCUUAGAUAUUCUGCUUCUCCUGCAGCACAUCUCAAUCAAAUGGAGGUCCCAAACCACAGAAGGGCAUUCACCUUGGCUCACUGCCAUGGCCUCCUCUCAGCAGUGCUAGAAGGCCGCUAUAGAAGGAUCCCAUUUGCAGAUUGUCUGUGCCCCUGUGGCUCAGGGCAGAUUGAACUACUGAGCAUGUCCUCCUAUAUGGCUCGUUCUAUAGAGACAUUUGUGCCUCUUUUAUUCUUCCACUGUUAAGCAAGUUCCUGAGACAUCCCAGACAGUUCUACAGUUCCCUGCUACUCUCUGACCUUAAUCCUACCAUAACUUAUAGCGCUGCCAGAUACUGUGCGGCUGCAAUCGGCAUCCAUCGGUGGAUGAUGGGCUGUAAGCCUUUUUAGCCCUGAUUUGACCCUGUAAUUGCUCACGCCUCCCUUUUAUGCCUUUUUAAAUUGGUUUUAAUACUCAAUAUAAUUUUUAUUCUGGUUUUGGUAGCUCUAUUAUAUUAUGGGUUUUUAAAGUAUAUUAUUUUAUGUCCCCCUUUUAAUGUCUUUUAUGCAUUUUAUGACUUUUAAACAUAAUAAUGGUAUUAUUAUUAUUUUAUUCAUUUUCAUUUUUAGUAUUUUAGUACUUAUAGCAUUUUUAGUACUCGUAUUUUUAAACUUGUAAUCACCUUCAUACAUUCUUAGUAUUGUUAGUUCUUUUCAUGUUAAUAUGCAUCAUCAUAUAUGUAACCACCUUCUAUUUCCACUUUUAUUUACUCGUAUUCUUUAACAUGUAUUUUUAUGCUGGUCUAUAAUAAAGGAUGGUGAUGAUGACAGAG
Hemicordylus capensis (graceful crag lizard) is the source of this 1996-nucleotide long non-coding RNA. RefSeq lists it as uncharacterized. Lineage: Eukaryota; Metazoa; Chordata; Lepidosauria; Squamata; Cordylidae. The record is from RefSeq and is a predicted model, not a curated record. The transcript has 2 exons.